This is a long non-coding RNA of Lutra lutra (Eurasian river otter), 135 nucleotides long. RefSeq lists it as uncharacterized. The record is from RefSeq and is a predicted model, not a curated record. The transcript is spliced from 3 exons. Lineage: Eukaryota; Metazoa; Chordata; Mammalia; Carnivora; Mustelidae.
AGGUUAUAAAACAUCAAAGAGAAAGUGUGACUCAUCCUGAAGAGGAAUGAGUAUCAACCAAAGAGAAAUAUAAGGACUUUGAAUUUGUUUGGAAAGAAGUAUAUGUGGAGCAAACUAGCUUUGGUCCAACAAACA